CCGAGUUUACAACUCCCAAACCCAAUGUGAACGUUACCAAACUGUUGCCUCGGCGGGGUCACGCCCCGGGUGCGUCGCAGCCCCGGAACCAGGCGCCCGCCGGAGGAACCAACCAAACUCUUUCUGUAGUCCCCUCGCGGACGUAUUUCUUACAGCUCUGAGCAAAAAUUCAAAAUGAAUCAAAACUUUCAACAACGGAUCUCUUGGUUCUGGCAUCGAUGAAGAACGCAGCGAAAUGCGAUAAGUAAUGUGAAUUGCAGAAUUCAGUGAAUCAUCGAAUCUUUGAACGCACAUUGCGCCCGCCAGUAUUCUGGCGGGCAUGCCUGUCCGAGCGUCAUUUCAACCCUCGAACCCCUCCGGGGGAUCGGCGUUGGGGAUCGGGACCCCUCACACGGGUGCCGGCCCCGAAAUACAGUGGCGGUCUCGCCGCAGCCUCUCCUGCGCAGUAGUUUGCACAACUCGCACCGGGAGCGCGGCGCGUCCACGUCCGUAAAACACCCAACUUUCUGAAAUGUUGACCUCGGAUCAGGUAGGAAUACCCGCUGAACUUAAGCAUAUCAAA
Molecule: ribosomal RNA, 562 nt
Filed under: Trichoderma asperellum
Lineage: Eukaryota; Fungi; Ascomycota; Sordariomycetes; Hypocreales; Hypocreaceae
Description: eukaryotic LSU rRNA
Rfam family: 5.8S ribosomal RNA (bases 184-337)
Source: RNAcentral